UUUGACUGGGGCGGUCGCCUCCUAAAGUGUAACGGAGGCGCCCAAAGGUUCCCUCAGAAUGGUUGGAAAUCAUUCGCAGAGUGUAAAGGCAUAAGGGAGCUUGACUGCGAGACCUACAAGUCGAGCAGGGACGAAAGUCGGGCUUAGUGAUCCGGUGGUUCCGCAUGGAAGGGCCAUCGCUCAACGGAUAAAAGCUACCCUGGGGAUAACAGGCUUAUCUCCCCCAAGAGUCCACAUCGACGGGGAGGUUUGGCACCUCGAUGUCGGCUCAUCGCAUCCUGGGGCUGUAGUCGGUCCCAAGGGUUGGGCUGUUCGCCCAUUAAAGCGGUACGCGAGCUGGGUUCAGAACGUCGUGAGACAGUUCGGUCCCUAUCCGUCGCGGGCGUAGGAAAUUUGAGAGGAGCUGUCCUUAGUACGAGAGGACCGGGAUGGACACACCUCUGGUGUACCAGUUGUUCUGCCAAGGGCAUUGCUGGGUAGCUAUGUGUGGACGGGAUAAAUGCUGAAAGCAUCUAAGCGUGAAGCCCCCCUCAAGAUGAGAUUUCCCAUCACGUAAGUGAGUAAGACCCCUGAGAGAUGAUCAGGUAGAUAGGUUGGAAGUGGAAGUCUAGCGAUAGAUGGAGCGGACCAAUACUAAUCGGUCGAGGACUUAACCAAA
This 658-nucleotide ribosomal RNA is filed under the name Carnobacterium sp. AT7. Its description in RNAcentral is "bacterial LSU rRNA". It matches the Rfam family "Bacterial large subunit ribosomal RNA", at positions 2269 to 2925 of the family's 2925-position model. The record is from RNAcentral. Lineage: Bacteria; Bacillati; Bacillota; Bacilli; Lactobacillales; Carnobacteriaceae.